AUGUCAAGAAUUGCACGUGAACUUUUUUACGUUUGGAUCUAUAAAAAAUUGUGAAGUUUUAUUCUUUGAGCAAAGAAAACUAGAUAUAGUUUUAUUAUAUGCAAGAAAUUGGAUAUAAAUCGCAACUAUGUAUUCACAUAUAAUAAUAUUAAAACACAAAAACGCGAACAAAAAUUGUAGCAAUCCACGAUUGUCGUGCAGCAAUUCAUAGAAGAACGUACUUCAUUAUUCAUAGCACAUGAUAAAUCACCUCAGGCUAGGAAAUAUUUGUCAAGGAAACCUGUCAUAAGAAUGAUUCUAGCAUGACAAACGAUGAUCGAUGGAUGCUGAAAUUUAAUUGCUUAUAUUAUUAUCCACAAUAAAAAGAAGAAGAAAGUAAAUAAAUUGUCAGUAGAACACUGAUAGAAGAUUAGCAAAUUUAAACAAUGGGGCACAGAAUGUCUGUUAAUAGGAACAUCAAGGGAAAAUCGGAACAUUCGAAAUAUAUUUAAGGGAAAGAAAACUUAAAAUUCGAAGCAAAAAAGAUCUGAAGUAUGAAGCGAAGGAAGAUAAAGAGAAGAGAAGAGGAAGAGGACAUGAAACAAAGGAUGUUUAAAAAAAAAAUAAAAAGAUAAAUUGACAGAGAAGCACUAAGGUGGAUCAGCAGAUUUAGACUACGGAGUAAAGUAGGUGUAAAUUACAAAGUAAAGAUCUAGAAUACGAGGCAAGGUAGAUUUUAAAUAUAAGACACGGCAGGUGGAAAGAAGAAAACGAGACAGAAAAAUCUCGUAACCGGUAGGAUGGAUCAUAAGGAAAAAUGUAAGAAAUACGUUAGAGAUUGAAAAUUAUUCAUUCGAAAUGGAAGAAGCAGAACGUAAGAAGGGUUCGAAUGAUAAUGGAAUAAAAGUAUAAACACCUGUCGUAGUUGAGCGAUGGGUAGGAAAAUGGAAACAAGCCUUUCGAGAUUGAAAGAAACGAAUGGAACGAAAGGAAUAAAAUUAGACGUGCAGGGGGAAGUAAGAGAAGAUAUUAUGACUUGCAAUUGCGGAUCCCUCCGUUGGCGGAGAUACAGGAAUGGGAGAAGGAAAUUCUGGGAAUAACUGUUGAAACGAACGAUGGAAAAAAUGGAAGAAGGGUGAGUCUUAACUUGUUAAUUGGAGGAAAUGAGUUUACUCCUUAUUUGGCUUAUGGC
Eufriesea mexicana is the source of this 1171-nucleotide long non-coding RNA. RefSeq lists it as uncharacterized. Lineage: Eukaryota; Metazoa; Arthropoda; Insecta; Hymenoptera; Apidae. The record is from RefSeq and is a predicted model, not a curated record. The transcript has 3 exons.